GAUGAAGAACGUAGCGAAAUGCGAUACGUAAUGUGAAUUGCAGAAUUCAGUGAAUCAUCGAAUCUUUGAACGCAUAUUGCGCUCUCUGGUAUUCCGGAGAGCAUGCUUGUUUGAGUAUCAGUAAACACCUCAACUUCCAUAUCUUUUAUGAAAUGGGAGUUGGACUUGAGUGAUCCCAACGCUUUUCCUCACCGAAAAGUGGCGGGUUACUUGAAAUGCAGGUGCAGCUGGACUUUUCUCUGAGCUAUAAGCAUAUCUAUUUAGUCUGCCUAAAAACAGAUUAUUACCUUUGCUGCAGCUAACAUAAAGGAGAUUAGUUCUUGUGCUGACUGAUGCAGGAUUCACAAAGACAGGCUUCGGCCGACUUUGUAAACUCGAUCUCAAAUCAAGUAAGACUACCCGCUGAACUUAAGCAUAUCAAUAAGCGGAGGA
This 432-nucleotide unclassified non-coding RNA is filed under the name soil metagenome. Its description in RNAcentral is "partial contains 5.8S ribosomal RNA, internal transcribed spacer 2, and large subunit ribosomal RNA". The stretch from base 1 to 120 matches the Rfam family "5.8S ribosomal RNA", at positions 35 to 154 of the family's 154-position model. The record is from RNAcentral.